GAUGAACGCUGGCGGCGUGCCUAAUACAUGCAAGUCGAGCGAACAGACGAGGAGCUUGCUCCUCUGACGUUAGCGGCGGACGGGUGAGUAACACGUGGAUAACCUACCUAUCAGACUGGGAUCACUUCGGGAAACCGGAGCUAAUACCGGAUAAUCUCUUGAACCGCAUGGUUCAAUAGUGAAAGACGGUUUUGCUGUCACUUAUAGAUGGAUCCGCGCCGCAUUAGCUAGUUGGUAAGGUAACGGCUUACCAAGGCAACGAUGCGUGUCCGACGUGUGAGACGGAUCGGCCGCACGGGAGGUGAGACACGGUCCAGGCGCCUACGGGAGGCAGCAGUAGGGUAUGGGCGGCAAUGGGCGAAAGCCUUGCGCAGCAACGCCGCGUGAGUGGUAGAGGUCUUCGGAUCGUAAAACUCUGUUAUGAGGGAAGAACAAAUGUGUAAGUAACUAUGCACGUCGUGACGGUACCUAGUCAGAAAGCCACGGCUAACUACGUG
RNAcentral lists this ribosomal RNA (497 nucleotides) under uncultured bacterium. RNAcentral describes it as "partial 16S ribosomal RNA". It matches the Rfam family "Bacterial small subunit ribosomal RNA", at positions 28 to 507 of the family's 1533-position model. The record is from RNAcentral.